CCUACGGGAGGCAGCAGUGGGGAAUAUUGGGCAAUGGGCGCAAGCCUGACCCAGCGACGCCGCGUGAAGGAAGAAGGCUUUCGGGUUGUAAACCUCUUUUAAGAGGGAAGAGCAGAAGACGGUACCUCUUGAAUAAGCCACGGCUAACUACGUGCCAGCAGCCGCGGUAAUACGUAGGUGGCAAGCGUUGUCCGGAUUUACUGGGUGUAAAGGGCGCUCAGCCGGGAAGGCAAGUCAGAUGUGAAAUCCCGGGGCUCAACCGCGGAACUGCAUUUGAAACUGUCUUUCUUGAGUACCGGAGAGGUCAGCGGAAUUCCUGGUGUAGCGGUGAAAUGCGUAGAUAUAAGGAAGAACACCAGUGGCGAAGGCGGAUGACUGGACGGCAACUGACGGUGAGGCGCGAAAGCGUGGGGAGCAAACAGGAUUAGAUACCCGGGUAGUC
This 442-nucleotide ribosomal RNA is filed under the name uncultured bacterium. Its description in RNAcentral is "partial 16S ribosomal RNA". It matches the Rfam family "Bacterial small subunit ribosomal RNA", at positions 338 to 795 of the family's 1533-position model. The record is from RNAcentral.